GAUGAACGCUGGCGGCGUGCCUAAUACAUGCAAGUCGAGCGAACAGACGAGGAGCUUGCUCCUCUGACGUUAGCGGCGGACGGGUGAGUAACACGUGGAUAACCUACCUAUAAGACUGGGAUAACUUCGGGAAACCGGAGCUAAUACCGGAUAAUAUAUUGAACCGCAUGGUUCAAUAGUGAAAGACGGUUUUGCUGUCACUUAUAGAUGGAUCCGCGCCGCAUUAGCUAGUUGGUAAGGUAACGGCUUACCAAGGCAACGAUGCGUAGCCGACCUGAGAGGGUGAUCGGCCACACUGGAACUGAGACACGGUCCAGACUCCUACGGGAGGCAGCAGUAGGGAAUCUUCCGCAAUGGGCGAAAGCCUGACGGUGCAACGCCGCGUGAGUGAUGAAGGUCUUCGGAUCGUAAAACUCUGUUAUUAGGGAGGAACAAAUGUGUAAGUAACUAUGCACGUCUUGACGGUACCUAAUCAGAAAGCCACGGCUAACCACGUG
RNAcentral lists this ribosomal RNA (497 nucleotides) under uncultured bacterium. RNAcentral describes it as "partial 16S ribosomal RNA". It matches the Rfam family "Bacterial small subunit ribosomal RNA", at positions 28 to 507 of the family's 1533-position model. The record is from RNAcentral.